This is a long non-coding RNA of Mercurialis annua (annual mercury), 1056 nucleotides long. RefSeq lists it as uncharacterized. NCBI's taxonomy places the organism in Eukaryota, Viridiplantae, Streptophyta, Magnoliopsida, Malpighiales, Euphorbiaceae. The transcript has 2 exons. The record is from RefSeq and is a predicted model, not a curated record.
UGAUUUGUGAUUACUUGAGGCUGAUAUGUUGAAGGUAGGUCUUGGCCGAAUAAAAUGAGUUUUGAAUGGUGAAAAUUGGUUAAUAAAUGGCCUAGGUUUUGCGGAAAUUCUAGGUGAAUUCAUGUGAUAGUUUGAUGAUUGAAUUGUUGAAUGAAUUGAUGGUGAGUUUGAGGAUUGUGUUUGUAUGUUGUGGACCUUAAGCCCUGGGUAGGCUCUGUCCAGCCCCUCCCAUGUCCCGGAUUGGCUUUCGUUUAGUAGUGUUAGUAGGUAUUAGUUCAACGGAAACUAGUUAGGCGUUUUUGCAGAAAACUGUUCUGCAAAACAGCCAUGUUGCAGAGGCUAUAUCUUGGGCUAUAUAACUCGAAAUCAAGUUCCGUUUGUUGGUACGAAAACUUUAAGAUGUUAACUAUAAUUGUCUAGUUUUACGUUUUCUCUAAAUCUGCCUCUAAACCGCUCAUAUAAGGCCGAACAUUUUGGUGUGUAAUCUGCUCUGCUGUUUUGGACAGCCCAACGUAUAAAAUUCCAGGCUUGAUUCCGACACCUUCGGGUGCGAAUUUCAUUCCGAGACCUGAACAAAAGUUGUAGGCGACAUUCUAAACUUUAAGAAUGUCAAUUUUGUUUAGGGGUCAGACUAUUUUAAGUAAGCGGUUUCGAUAGCCGAAGUUGGCUAGAAACAUAAUUUUGGAUAAGUUAAAAAUAGCUAGAAUUUUAUUAAUUCUUGCUAUUAUUAUAUUUGCAUAGAUCGGACGAGCGACUAUCGACGAGGCUUGAGAGAAAAAAAACGGAUCGAGAUAUCGUCAUUCUUAUUUGAAGAGUUUGGAUAGCAAGUGGGAUAGCAUGAUAUUAUUUGGAAACUCAAGCUUCCGAAGUUUUAAUUCUCGAAAGUCAUUUGCACAAGAAGUGAAAGAAGGUUUUCAUUCUAGCGGUCCGCAGUAGUCUAGAUGUUUUUUUUUCUAUGUAUUUGUCUAGCGCAUUUUAACUCUGAUAUUUUUGUAAAAUGGGGUCACAUGUAUUUUGAUAUAUGAAAAAUGAUUUGAUUUGCGAAAAAUUUACACA